CACAGCUCCCCCUCAAUUAACCUUUUAAUUAGGACNCAAAUUCAAAACCCAUUAAAACUAUUGAGUAUUCCUAUACGUUUAUAGGAGAAUUAAUGCUAGAACUAGUAACUCAGAAUUAAACAUUCUCUUAAUGUAAGUGUAAAUCAGAUUGAAUAAAUCACUGAUAAUUAACAGCCUUACAGAAAGCAAUGUAACAACUCACCAAGAAAACCUUACAUCAAAAACUGUUAAUCUUACACAAGAACACACCAAGAAAGAUUAAAAGAUAUAGAAGGAACUCGGCAAAUCUAGGUCCCGCCUGUUUACCAAAAACAUCGCCUCUUGCCCAAUCUGUAUAAGAGGUCCCGCCUGCCCAGUGACAUCAUGUUUAACGGCCGCGGUAUU
Molecule: ribosomal RNA, 384 nt
Filed under: Scaphiopus holbrookii (eastern spadefoot toad)
Lineage: Eukaryota; Metazoa; Chordata; Amphibia; Anura; Pelobatidae
Description: partial 16S ribosomal RNA
Source: RNAcentral